UGGGGAAUUUUGGACAAUGGGCGAAAGCCUGAUCCAGCAAUGCCGCGUGUGUGAAGAAGGCCUUCGGGUUGUAAAGCACUUUUGUCCGGAAAGAAAUCCUUGGCUCUAAUACAGUCGGGGGAUGACGGUACCGGAAGAAUAAGCACCGGCUAACUACGUGCCAGCAGCCGCGGUAAUACGUAGGGUGCAAGCGUUAAUCGGAAUUACUGGGCGUAAAGUGUGCGCAGGCGGUUUGCUAAGACCGAUGUGAAAUCCCCGGGCUCAACCUGGGAACUGCAUUGGUGACUGGCAGGCUAGAGUAUGGCAGAGGGGGGUAGAAUUCCACGUGUAGCAGUGAAAUGCGUAGAGAUGUGGAGGAAUACCGAUGGCGAAGGCAGCCCCCUGGGCCAAUACUGACGCUCAUGCACGAAAGCGUGGGGAGCAAACAGGAUUAGAUACCCUGGUAGUCCACGCCCUAAACGAUGUCAACUAGUUGUUGGGGAUUCAUUUCCUUAGUAACGUAGCUAACGCGUGAAGUUGACCGCCUGGGGAGUACGGUCGCAAGAUUAAAACUCAAAUGAAUUGACGGGGUCAUAGCUGUUUCCU
This 585-nucleotide ribosomal RNA is filed under the name uncultured bacterium. RNAcentral's name for it is "partial 16S ribosomal RNA". It matches the Rfam family "Bacterial small subunit ribosomal RNA", at positions 355 to 1375 of the family's 1533-position model. The record is from RNAcentral.